CAACGCUUUGCGAUAUGGCUUCCCGUGAGCCCUUGCGUGCAUCUGGCCCCACUGUAUCCCGUCGUGCCUGCGUCUUCCGGUUAGGACUGCUGAGCCCCGCCUCUUCCUGCGUAUAUCCGAUGAUGGCGCAGGGACAGCGUAAGUUCCAGGCACAAAAGCCAUCCAAGAGCAAGGCGAUGGCGGUGCCCUCGGAGCGGAACCGGGGUCCGAAGAAGGGAGGUCGUGUUAUCGCCCCCAAGAAGGCACGCAUUGUGCAACAGCGAAAGCUGAAGAAGGACCUGGAGGUUGGGAUCCGGAAAAAGAUUGAGCAUGAUGUGGUGAUGAAAGCCAGCACCAGCCUGCCCAAGAAGCUGGCUCUUCUGAAAGCCCCCGCCAAGAAGAAGUAAGCAGUCUCUUCCUCUUCCACCAAGACACCUUCCUAAGGACGCAGCCCCUGCCUCCAUGCUCAGAAAUCUUCAGUCACAUGCUCCUGUGGGCAGGCCAUUGCUGGGGCCAUAGGCCAGGAGCUCUGACCCAGUCAGCCCCAGCAGUUUCUGCAGGAGACCAGCCAUGUGCUCAGAGAAGGGUGAUUGGGCUUCUGCACAUACAUCCUGGGAGCUUUUGGAGAGUCUUGACCUCCCUCCAACCACAGGUGACUCACACCAAUCUUCUUAGUCAUCUGCAUGCCCUCCCCAGACAUGCCCAAGUUACCACUCUGCCCUGGACAAGCCAGGAGGUGUAGGGAGCCAUUUUCUCAUCUGUAGAACAGGUGUUGACACCAUCUUCAUGGUGGUGAUUAAACCAGAAUGCACUUAUGAACUGUUCAGAGCCACCUCUAUCUAUAAAAAAAAGUCUUAACAUCUACUAUGCCUAUGGCUAGUGCUUUCUGCACAUCACUUCAUCCCAGGUUGGGUCGUGCUGUUAGCAUUCCAGAGCCAGUACUUGAACCCACCACUGGCUGGAUCUCAGUGUGUACUCUCAGUUGAUCGUCUCCUGCCUCUCUUCCCACACCAAGAUCUCUCCUGUUUCAUCCUGAGUACCCCUUUCCCAGAUCGUCACUUGAGUCUGCUAAACAUCAAGAAGAUGCCUGUGGAGUCUCCGGGAGGUCUGGCCUGGUGACCACCCAUCCCUCCCUCUGAUGGGGGUGAGGAGUAGGUCACAGCACAGUGACCAGCCAGGCUGGGCCCAGGGGAACUCCAAACUGGAAAGUCUCUCCAAGUUCAAGCUCUGCUGCCACAACUGGCAGUUUUUUGAGGUGUAAGUUUAGGGUUUUUGUGUGUAUAAAAUUGCUCUCCCUGCUUUUGUGUAUAUGUGUGUGGUUAAAACUCACAUGUAAAAUUGACAUU
This is an RNA transcript of Molossus molossus (Pallas's mastiff bat), 1325 nucleotides long. It is a transcript of the gene named chromosome unknown C19orf53 homolog, with no coding region annotated. The transcript has 4 exons. The record is from RefSeq and is a predicted model, not a curated record. Lineage: Eukaryota; Metazoa; Chordata; Mammalia; Chiroptera; Molossidae.